CCAAUUAUAAUGUUAAGAUUUCUUGUGUUUUGUAGUAGCGUUAAACGCGGCGCGGCGUAGACGGCAAUGGUAGUGUUUCGUGUAUUGUUAGAAUUAGUAUUUGGUAAAAUGCGCGUCGCGUAGAGUCAAACGCGACGCGUCGCUUCGUUUCUGGUGUGGGACACGUUUCGCAUAAUGCACGAGCUCGACGCGGCGGAACACCCGUUCCACGUUACGCCACAGCGUGACGUCUUUGACGAUCGGGUCGAUUUAUUUUCCGAGACGUUGAUCGCAUCACAGGUGUGGAUGACGGGGGGAGAGGGAAGGUGUACCGGAAGCGGGUCGCGGUGCGUGAGAUCCGAGUGACGGGUGUCACUCGCCUAUUGGACGGAACGCUACGUAACGCGAACGUUUCCGGGACGUUCGUAGCACACACAUCGGGGAUUUAGAAAAGGGGAAACACGCGACCUUAGCGAGUGUCGUCCAUUUAUUUCUCUCGCCAUUGUUUUUAGGACGUAACCAACCGACUGAGACAAUACUAUCAGUAAAAAUGGCACCCGAGACACUACACCUCCACCCCUGCCGAGUGCCGAUCGAAAACGAGGUUUCGACGAGGUAGAUCUAGUCGACCUCAUCUCCUACCAGACAGAGAUCAACAGGUUGGCUGAUGAAGUAAGACGUCUUCGUAACGAAGGAGACACUUGCAUACGGCUCGUCCACCCCUCUCACAAACAGGUUGUGACGGAACAGGAACUGCAACAGGAACAUCGGAAUCAGUCGACGAGGCAUCGAACGACAGCACGAAAUUCGAAGUACUGCGGAUAGACAGAAGGGGUUAUGGGGAAGUGAAGAGAGCCUGUCCAGAGCUAGAAAAGUGAAGAUUUUAAAAGAAAAUUUCAGCACGUUGAUAUGCUGAGUUGGAAAUGGAGCAUGAAAACAAAGUACAGAAAGCCUUGAGGAUGAGAACGUGACAGACAGAUACGGAAGAGAAAUCGAAAAUGGCCGACUUGGCAGCAGAUAAGCAAGUGUGAGUAUAUUACGGUUUAUAGAUAAUGUUACGGAUAUACUCGACAUUGCAAAAAGGGUAAGGGAGAAAAUGACGACCGAAACACUGCAAUUUUGUAAUUAAAAACGUUUCUUUCCAAGGAGCAACAGUUAAGAAUGUAAAGAAGGUGUGGAUGCUGCUAGUCUCCAUCAACUACACACUAAAGAAGGUAAAGAUAGAAUGUAUUAUGCACUCCCCUUCACUGGGAUUGUUUUUAAGUGUGCACCUCACUUGGUUUCUAGAAUUAUCACAAGUUUGCACAGUUUCUUUUUGUUUUUGGUGCGGGCACAUUUGGCCUCCUUGCAAAGUGCACCAUUGCAUGAGAACGUAACGCAUGGAAUGCAUGAGUAGAUGCGGUUGCCGGUCCAAUCUCAUCCUGUAACUCUGGGCUUUUAUUGAUAUUCAGGGUGCCUGGUGAGAUCAGACAGGCUUAUUCCGUAAUGUUUGUGGUGACGGUGAGCACAACUGUUUCCGCUCCUUAAAUUCCUAAAUUUUAAUCUUAGUUUAAGAGCGCUUGCGACACGUGUUUUGUUUCGUGUAGUGAGCAUUUGUUAAUAUUGAUAUAUCCUUUGCAAGUGUGCGUGUGCCUGUGUAUUGUGUAUGUAAUCCUGAGCAACGUGGUUCCUUCCCAAAAGCAAUGGAACGUGCUGUUAACGCGUAAAGAAUGCCUGCACCCUGCAUUGCAUGCUAUGACGGCUUUGGCGGGAGUAUUCCAUCAGGUACUGGUUGAUUUUCCAUACCAGUACUUAUGUGAUACUCACAUCUCGGCCGCCACAUCCAGCUGUGGACACCCACGUUGCAAGAAUGAUUUUGACCCGGAAUGCCACCAUUCUGAAGCUCGCUGGUGCAUGCAUCAGAUGUAACUUUUGUAUACAAAACUGCAAGAAUGAGGAACGUAAGAGGAAGUGUUGGCAGAUUUAUUAUUUCUAACAGUUUCUUAAUUUCAGUAUCGAAGAUCUCUACGCUUCAAGAAUCCGUCAAAGAAAUUAGGAAUGGAAAGAAUGGUGGACAGGAAACAUGAAAAGUCUGGUGUAGUAUCCUUUGCAGCACUCAGGAGUCAGAAAUUGGAUGUGAUUCUUCCUCUCCAUUAAGUAUUGGAUUUCAUUCAUGGAAUGGCAAAAAGGAUGUCACUGCAAGGAGAGAGAACAGUAAGAAAUCAAAGGCAAAGGAUGGAUAUUAUCUAUGUAAAAAACAACUCAAAGCACAGUGCCAGAAAGCCAAUCAAGUAGAGAAACAAAUGAGCCCCAAGAAGCCUCAAUUCAACCUUUUCCAGCCAGUAAACUGAAGUGUCACAGGCUUCAAAGAUCAACCAUUCGCCUCUCCAAUGACUUGGACAAAUCUCCAGCAUUGGUCAUUCAUACUAUUCUCUCUUCUCUGCCCACCUUCACCCCAAUUCUGAUGACGGAUGUCGGUGUUUCCAACAUAUCCUGAGGGAUACACUGGUAAUGUGCUGUGAGCCUUCUAAGAAAUUGUUAGAGGAAAUAUUUAUGUAUCUAUAAUUUACUAAUAAAAAUUAUAAUUUUUAUACUGUU
Centruroides sculpturatus (bark scorpion) is the source of this 2556-nucleotide long non-coding RNA. RefSeq lists it as uncharacterized. Lineage: Eukaryota; Metazoa; Arthropoda; Arachnida; Scorpiones; Buthidae. The transcript has 8 exons. The record is from RefSeq and is a predicted model, not a curated record.